UACGUAGGGUGCGAGCGUUAAUCGGAAUUACUGGGCGUAAAGCGUGCGCAGGCGGUGAUGUAAGACAGAUGUGAAAUCCCCGGGCUCAACCUGGGAACUGCAUCCGAGACUGACUUGCUAGAGUAUGGGGAGAGGGAAGCGGAAUUUCUGGUGUAGCAGUGAAAUGCGUAGAUAUCAGAAGGAACAUCAGUGGCGAAGGCGGCUUCCUGGACCAAUACUGACGAUCAGGUGCGAAAGCGUGGGGAGCAAACAGGAUUAGAAACCCCUGUAGU
This 272-nucleotide ribosomal RNA is filed under the name uncultured bacterium. RNAcentral describes it as "partial 16S ribosomal RNA". It matches the Rfam family "Bacterial small subunit ribosomal RNA", at positions 524 to 794 of the family's 1533-position model. The record is from RNAcentral.